UACGGAGGAUGCGAGCGUUAUCCGGAUUUAUUGGGUUUAAAGGGUGCGUAGGCGGCUUAGUGAGUCAGCGGUGAAAUUUUGCAGCUUAACUGUAACAGUGCCGUUGAUACUGCCAGGCUAGGAUUUGGUUGCUGUGGGUGGAAUGUGUGGUGUAGCGGUGAAAUGCUUAGAUAUCACACAGAAUAUCGAUUGCGAAGGCAGCUCACAAAGCCAAGAUUGACGCUGAGGCACGAAAGUGUGGGGAUCAAACA
RNAcentral lists this ribosomal RNA (251 nucleotides) under uncultured prokaryote. RNAcentral describes it as "partial 16S ribosomal RNA". It matches the Rfam family "Bacterial small subunit ribosomal RNA", at positions 524 to 774 of the family's 1533-position model. The record is from RNAcentral.